This is a long non-coding RNA of Suricata suricatta (meerkat), 388 nucleotides long. RefSeq lists it as uncharacterized. Lineage: Eukaryota; Metazoa; Chordata; Mammalia; Carnivora; Herpestidae. The transcript is spliced from 3 exons. The record is from RefSeq and is a predicted model, not a curated record.
CAGAAGUCAUCUACCCCGAGCCAUCAUCUUGCAGGUUACCGAGGGCUCAAAAAGACUCCUGGCUAGUAUAUCCUCACCUUCGUUCAAAUUGUUAAAAGGAGGAAGGCAAAAAGCAGCAGGGAGAAAAGCCAGCAUGAAUGGGAUAGAUGGAGAGGUGGACACAGGACACAGACAUGGGACCUUUGCAGUUGAACCUAUAAAGAAUUCUCCCAUUUAUUGGAGAGCCUACAUGCAAAGACUGACACUCUGUUGGAUGAACUUCAUCACUGCUCAUGUCCAGACAUCAUCAACUAUGAUGCCUUCUCUCAGAGCAAACGCCAGUAACUUAAACCUGCUCUAAUUCAGACUUAUGUAUACAUCCAAUUCUUAGAACAGACUUUCUAUUAAA